RNAcentral lists this long non-coding RNA (584 nucleotides) under Numida meleagris (helmeted guineafowl). RNAcentral describes it as "lncRNA (ENSNMEG00000000659.1)". Lineage: Eukaryota; Metazoa; Chordata; Aves; Galliformes; Numididae. The record is from RNAcentral.
GUGUCACUUAGGGGUCCCCCAAUGUCCCCCAUUGUCCCCUGGGGCGUCCCCAGUGUCACUUAUGGGUCCCCCCGUGUCACUUAUGGGUCCCCCAGUGUCCCCCCCAGUGUCACUUAGGGGUCCCCAAUGUCCCCCAAUGUCCCCUGGGGGUCCCCAGUGUCACUUAUGGGUCCCCCAAUGUCCCCCGAUGUCCCCCCAUGUCACUUUGGGUCCCCAAUGUCCCCUGGGGGUCCCCGAUGUCACUUAGGGGGCCCCCCCGGUGUCACUUUGGGGUCCCCCAAUGUCCCCUGGGGGUCCCUGAUGUCACUUGGGGGUCCCCAAUGUCACUUAGGGGUCCGCCAGUGCCACUUUGGGGUCCCCAAUGUCCCCUGGGGGUCCCCCAAUGUCACUUAGGGGUCCCCAGUGUCCCCCAUUGUCCCCCAGUGUCACUUAGGGGUCCCCCAAUGUCCCCUGGGGGUCCCCGAUGUCACUUAUGGGUCCCCAGUGUCCCCCAUUGUCCCCCAGUGUCACUUAUGGGUCCCCAAUGUCCCCCAUUGUCCCCAAGUGUCACUUAGGGGUCCCCCAAUGUCCCCCAGUGUCCCCUG